Molecule: transfer RNA, 78 nt
Filed under: Myxococcales bacterium
Lineage: Bacteria; Pseudomonadati; Myxococcota; Myxococcia; Myxococcales
Also listed under: 1 other name
Description: tRNA-Arg
Rfam family: tRNA
About the family: Transfer RNA (tRNA) molecules are approximately 80 nucleotides in length. Their secondary structure includes four short double-helical elements and three loops (D, anti-codon, and T loops). Further hydrogen bonds mediate the characteristic L-shaped molecular structure. tRNAs have two regions of fundamental functional importance: the anti-codon, which is responsible for specific mRNA codon recognition, and the 3' end, to which the tRNAs corresponding amino acid is attached (by aminoacyl-tRNA synthetases). tRNAs cope with the degeneracy of the genetic code in two manners: having more than one tRNA (with a specific anti-codon) for a particular amino acid; and 'wobble' base-pairing, i.e. permitting non-standard base-pairing at the 3rd anti-codon position.
Source: RNAcentral
GCCCCCGUAGCUCAGCAUGGAUAGAGCAUCGGUUUCCUAAACCGGGGGUCAGAGGUUCGAAUCCUCUCGGGGGCGCCA